RNAcentral lists this microRNA precursor (81 nucleotides) under Plutella xylostella (diamondback moth). RNAcentral's name for it is "microRNA pxy-mir-8510a precursor (pxy-mir-8510a-7)". The stretch from base 8 to 74 matches the Rfam family "mir-8510 microRNA precursor family". The record is from miRBase by way of RNAcentral. Lineage: Eukaryota; Metazoa; Arthropoda; Insecta; Lepidoptera; Plutellidae.
GCAUCUCUAGUCGAUACUGUGAUCUCACCCGCAAGUCGGUCGUGCACUCGCAGGUGAGAUGAUAGCAUUGAAGGGAGGAGC